RNAcentral lists this ribosomal RNA (458 nucleotides) under uncultured bacterium. RNAcentral describes it as "partial 16S ribosomal RNA". It matches the Rfam family "Bacterial small subunit ribosomal RNA", at positions 338 to 795 of the family's 1533-position model. The record is from RNAcentral.
CCUACGGGAGGCAGCAGUGAGGAAUAUUGGUCAAUGGGCGAGAGCCUGAACCCGCCAAGUCGCGUGAGGGAGUACUGCCCUAUGGGUUAUAAACCUCUUUUGUCGGGGCGCAAAAUCCGGACGUUUCCGGCUGUGAGAGUACCCGCAUAAAAAGCAUCAGCUAACUCCGUUCCGGCAGCCGCGGUAAUACGGAGGAUGCUAGCGUUAUCCGGAUUGAUUGGGUUUAAGGGGUGCGGAGGCGGAGUUUUAAGUCAGCGGUCAAAUCGUGGGGCUCAACCCCAGCGAGCCGUUGAAACUGGGGAGCGAGAGUGUGCGAGAGGUAUGCGGAAUGCGUGGUGUAGCGGUGAAAUGCAUAGAUAUCACGCAGAACCCCGAUUGCGAAGGCAGCAUACCGGUGCACAACUGACGCUCAGGCACGAAAGCGUGGGUAUCGAACAGGAUUAGAUACCCGGGUAGUC